CAGUAGCCGCGGGAAUACGGAGGGGGCUAGCGUUGUUCGGAAUUACUGGGCGUAAAGCGCACGUAGGCGGCUUUGUAAGUUAGAGGUGAAAGCCCGGAGCUCAACUCCGGAAUUGCCUUUAAGACUGCAGAGCUAGCAGGUGAGAGAGGUGAGUGGAAUUCCGAGUGUAGAGGUGAAAUUCGUAGAUAUUCGGAAGAACACCAGUGGCGAAGGCGGCUCACUGGACGACUGUUGACGCUGAGGUGCGAAAGCGUGGGGAGCAAACAGGAUUAGAUACCCCCGUAGUCCCUGUCUCUUAUAC
Molecule: ribosomal RNA, 301 nt
Filed under: uncultured bacterium
Lineage: Bacteria
Description: partial 16S ribosomal RNA
Rfam family: Bacterial small subunit ribosomal RNA
Source: RNAcentral